Molecule: ribosomal RNA, 403 nt
Filed under: uncultured bacterium
Lineage: Bacteria
Description: bacterial SSU rRNA
Rfam family: Bacterial small subunit ribosomal RNA
Source: RNAcentral
UGGGGAAUAUUGCACAAUGGGCGCAAGCCUGAUGCAGCAACGCCGCGUGGGCGAUGAAGGCCUUCGGGUCGUAAAGCCCUUUUUGAGGGGAUGAGGAAGGACAGUACCCUCAGAAUAAGCCUCGGCUAACUACGUGCCAGCAGCCGCGGUAAAACGUAGGAGGCGAGCGUUAUCCGGAUUUACUGGGCGUAAAGCGCGUGCAGGCGGAUUGGAGAGUUGGAUGUGAAAGCUCCCGGCUUAACUGGGAGAGGUCGUUCAAUACUUCCAGUCUUGAGUGCAGUAGAGGGAAGUGGAAUUCCGGGUGUAGUGGUGAAAUGCGUAGAUAUCCGGAGGAACACCAGUGGCGAAAGCGGCUUCCUGGACUGUAACUGACGCUCAGACGCGAAAGCUAGGGUAGCAAACG